AGAAACUUCCAGAGCUCUAAGAUGCCCUGCCCGGGGUCAGCAGUCUUGUCUGUCCAGCAGCGGCAGCGGAAACAGGAGAGCAAAGAGAAGGAAUGGUCCUGGUGCGGUCGGGUCACCGUCUGCUUCCCAAACCGCACCAGGCUCUGGGGGUGUCGGGUGCCGUCCGUGCCUCGUGGGACUGCUCACGGCUCGCCCGCCCGCCCGCCCGCUCCAAGGCCACCGGCCAGGAACAUUGUAGCUUCUGAGUGUUGGAGCCGUGACUUCCUUCAGGGGACGUUGUCCCCAUCCUCGGAGGGUGGGCACCGCUCGUUCACCGAGACCCGAGCCCGCGACCCCUUCCUCGGCGUGCGGGCCUCUGUGAUACGGCACGUGUCAGCGUGGCUUGUCACAUAAUGAAAUCGCCUGUCAAAACAGAAAGAGACUCUGUUUUCAAGGCCUAAAAAAUUGAUUUUUAUGGCUCUUCUUGUAAUUCUCUUUCUGAAUUAGGCACAUGAUAUUGAUGUGGGCCUACUUUUUAAUCAUAAUAGCGUCUGACAAGGUAAUUAAUUUUAAAACAACUUUUUUCUCUUGGCCCAAAUGGCACUAUAUCGAAAUUAAACGUGAGUGCCGUGAGGGCGGCGGGCCUGGCACUCAGGUGAUUGCCUCGGCCGUGACAGCCCUCCAUCUUGCACACCACGCGACCUUUGGAGAUGGUGGUGGUUAUUGAUGAGCGCGGGCCAUUCCAUCAGAGGAGCAGACGCUGGAAACGUGACCGAGUUUAGGUUUUAAUGAUGGUGUUACAAGAGCCUAGCACUGCUGACGGGACCCCUGCGGGGGCCACGCCGGCUCCUUGCCGGGGCUCCUGUCGGGGGGAGGGAGGGACAGGGCCGCGGGCCACGGGCAUCCCUGUGCGCCUCCAUGGCGACAAGGCCUGAGGAACCUCGCGUUUCUCACUCUAGACACGCUGGAGCUUUUAAACCUCCAUUCAGAUGCUAAAUCUGAAGUUUGUCAGUUUUUUAAAAAAGGAAUUCACCUCCCAACGCCUCGUACCGUUUAUUGGCCAGCAGUGGGCGGCGUCCAUAAUUCCCGUCCCGGGCGUCAGCUGUCCGCACCUUCUGCAGCCCCCGUCCCCUCCCGUCACGUCAGCUCGAUGCCUCGAGCCCCGUGAGGAUGGGUGGCCCGUGUCCAGCACCCCCUCCCCCCCCCCCCCCCGCCCGCCGGAGGCCCUGUGCGCGUGAGCCCGGGGUCUCUGCCGUCUCACGAACGCCCGGCCGCCCGGUGGCCCCAGGCCCGGAGCCGACUUCCUCGCGUGGCCGUCGUCGCCUCCGCCUGCUCCCGCCACAGCCUCCGCGCAUCCCGGAGACCUGGAGUGGCGCCCUGACCCCGGUGGCUUCGCCCACCUUCUGAACUUUCACGGACCCGAGGAAACGCGAAGCGCCGGCCUCGCGCCAGCACAGAGGGCGACCGCAGCGCUUCGUACCAGAGCAGCGUCCUCGAGGAACACGAGUUCCCGUGCCCCCAGCGGACGGAAGCUGGCGGAUCUUAAAGACCAGACGUGUGGACCCUGUGACAUUCGAAGCGUUUGCCCGGCGAGCGGACCCCUCUUCCCUCGGCGAGGGAAAGAUGCAGUGUUUCUUUGGCUCCGUUUUUCUUAAAAACGUAAAUAAAUAAAACAGAAAAGUGAAAAGCC
Lynx canadensis (Canada lynx) is the source of this 1669-nucleotide long non-coding RNA. RefSeq lists it as uncharacterized. The record is from RefSeq and is a predicted model, not a curated record. The transcript is spliced from 2 exons. NCBI's taxonomy places the organism in Eukaryota, Metazoa, Chordata, Mammalia, Carnivora, Felidae.